RNAcentral lists this long non-coding RNA (227 nucleotides) under Elaeis guineensis (African oil palm). RNAcentral's name for it is "long non-coding RNA (EGUI_LNC029259)". The record is from RNAcentral. Lineage: Eukaryota; Viridiplantae; Streptophyta; Magnoliopsida; Arecales; Arecaceae.
GAUGAGAAGGAGAAGUGGAUAAAAAAGAAAUGGAGGAGAAAGGAGGGGUGGAGAAAGAGGAGGAGAAAGAGAAGGAGGAGAAUGGGUAGAGAAAGAAGAAGAGAAAGGAGAAUGAAAAAAGAGGAGGAAGGGGGGGAGGAGAAAUGGGUGAAAAGGAAGAGGAGGAAGAGAAAGGAGAGAAGGAAGGAAGAGGGAGAAAGAGGGACACCAACAAUGAAGGAGGAGGG